UCCCUGGUGGUCCAGUGGUUAAGGCUCUGUGGUCCCAGUGUAGAGGGCCCAGGUUCAAUCCCUGGUCAGGGAA
RNAcentral lists this transfer RNA (73 nucleotides) under Bos taurus (domestic cattle). It matches the Rfam family "tRNA". Rfam says of the family: Transfer RNA (tRNA) molecules are approximately 80 nucleotides in length. Their secondary structure includes four short double-helical elements and three loops (D, anti-codon, and T loops). Further hydrogen bonds mediate the characteristic L-shaped molecular structure. tRNAs have two regions of fundamental functional importance: the anti-codon, which is responsible for specific mRNA codon recognition, and the 3' end, to which the tRNAs corresponding amino acid is attached (by aminoacyl-tRNA synthetases). tRNAs cope with the degeneracy of the genetic code in two manners: having more than one tRNA (with a specific anti-codon) for a particular amino acid; and 'wobble' base-pairing, i.e. permitting non-standard base-pairing at the 3rd anti-codon position. The record is from Rfam by way of RNAcentral. Lineage: Eukaryota; Metazoa; Chordata; Mammalia; Artiodactyla; Bovidae. RNAcentral also lists the same sequence under 4 other names.